This 433-nucleotide ribosomal RNA is filed under the name uncultured bacterium. Its description in RNAcentral is "partial 16S ribosomal RNA". It matches the Rfam family "Bacterial small subunit ribosomal RNA", at positions 29 to 507 of the family's 1533-position model. The record is from RNAcentral.
AACGAACGCUGGCGGCAUGCCUAACACAUGCAAGUCGAACGAAGCCUUCGGGCUUAGUGGCGCACGGGUGCGUAACGCGUGGGAAUCUGCCCCUUGCUUCGGAAUAACAGUUAGAAAUGACUGCUAAUACCGGAUGAAGUCUUCGGACCAAAGAUUUAUCGGCAAGGGAUGAGCCCGCGUAGGAUUAGGUAGUUGGUGGGGUAAAGGCCUACCAAGCCGACGAUCCUUAGCUGGUCUGAGAGGAUGAUCAGCCACACUGGGACUGAGACACGGCCCAGACUCCUACGGGAGGGAGCAGUGGGGAAUAUUGGGCAAUGGGCGGAAGGCUGAUGCAGCCAUGCCGCGUGAGUGAUGAAGGCCUUAGGGUUGUAAAGCUCUUUUACCAGGGAUGAUAAUGACGGUACCUGGAGAAUAAGCCCCGGCUAACUCCGUG